Non-coding RNA from Musa acuminata subsp. malaccensis (wild Malaysian banana), 585 nucleotides. NCBI's taxonomy places the organism in Eukaryota, Viridiplantae, Streptophyta, Magnoliopsida, Zingiberales, Musaceae. The record is from RefSeq and is a predicted model, not a curated record.
GAGGGGGAGAGAGCUCUCCAGCGUUUGCGAGGGCGGUGUCGUCCUCAGGUUCUUUCUUCGUUCUUUCGCUUGCUUCAGACUCUUGCUUGGACGAUUGGUUUGCGAUUUGGAUUCAUCCGUCUCAUCUGCCGCUUGAUCGCGAGAUGUAUCGACGAGGUUUAACAUGUCCUAAUGCAUGUAGAAUGAUGACUUGCAGCGAAACCAUACAUACAAUGGGUAAAUACUCGGAUCGCUUUCCUCUUUGCUCUCGAUGCAGAGGCCGGCCACUUCGCUCUAUAACAUCACGGCUCAUCUUCCGGUGGUCGAAUCGAUUGGGUUCUCACUGCUCUUAGCCAGGCGUUCACCCAGUGUGUCUUUGACCGCUGGGUCCUGAUGUCUUCCGAUCUAUAGGAUGAGGCUCGUGAUCGACAUCCGUCAGAGGAAGGGCUUGAAGAAGCAGAUUACCCCUCUCCCCAAAUACCAAAACCAGCUCUAAAUUUCCCAAAAUGCUUCUGGUGCAGGUCUUCAACCACAUACAUUUACUACACGAAGACCUUUUUGGCUGAAUCGGGAUAUCCAGUGAAACCAAUUUGAAGGUCACCGAUC